This 19-nucleotide small nuclear RNA is filed under the name Arabidopsis thaliana (thale cress). RNAcentral describes it as "snRNA_05612". Lineage: Eukaryota; Viridiplantae; Streptophyta; Magnoliopsida; Brassicales; Brassicaceae. The record is from RNAcentral.
GCUUGUGGCAGCCAAGCGU